This 328-nucleotide long non-coding RNA is filed under the name Ananas comosus (pineapple). RNAcentral's name for it is "long non-coding RNA (ACOM_LNC034192)". Lineage: Eukaryota; Viridiplantae; Streptophyta; Magnoliopsida; Poales; Bromeliaceae. The record is from RNAcentral.
UAUAUCAUCUUUUGUAUUUGAUGAUCAUAGAUGUAUAAAUGAUGUUAAAUGUAAAAUUUUAUUUUGGAGAUCAUGUGAUGUAAAAGAAAUGAUGAGAAUAAUGUAAAAGAAUUUAAAGGUUGAAUGCAUGUAUGUAGUUAAAAGUUAAUCAUAAUACUUGUAUGGAUGUUCAGUUUAAAAUCUUUCACUUUUGGCUACUGCUUGCCCUUGUGCAAGCCAUGUAUGUUUAUGUUUCCGCAUGCGCAAACUUUAUGCUUGAUUUAUACUUGUGUGGAGCCUUGGACGGACAGGGAAGGUGCUGUCCGUUCGGCGUCUGUUCGACGUGCCC